GCCAGACAUGUCAACAAACAGAAGACAUACACAGUAGAUGAGAUUCCAAGACUUGAACAAUGGUGUUGGUAGUGCCCACGUCUCGUAGCUCUUCCAGCAGGCUGUGGCUUAGCGCUUCUUUUUGAUUAUAAUAAUAAUAAUCUUCCAGCAGGCCUCUCCAUAAAUGACAGAUUUAUCCAUAGUUUUUAGCCAUUAUCACUACAUACACGCACUGUUUAGGCACCUCAUCGUUGCUGCAGUGUUCAGAACCCAUGGAUCGUACCCAUAUAAGU
Molecule: non-coding RNA, 272 nt
Organism: Cherax quadricarinatus
Lineage: Eukaryota; Metazoa; Arthropoda; Malacostraca; Decapoda; Parastacidae
Source: RefSeq, a predicted model, not a curated record